CUUCCCCUCUCCCCCCAUCUCCCGCCCCUCUGCAUGGGGCUGAUGCCUGACUUUUGUCCCCCUGUAACUAACCUGCAGCCCUAGUCAUGGUCCCACCUAGAGCAUCAUCCGCUACCCUGACCCCAUUUGCACCACCCAGCCCCCUACCCUGCCUCAAGUUCUACCAAACAGCUGCCCCCCCACACACCUGAAGUCCUGCUGCGACCUACAGCCCCGCCUAACAGCUCCACUCCCUCCAGUAUUAUGUUUGGGCUACUGUGGCCCAAUGCUGCACGUACUAGUAAGGCUGAGGAGUGAAUGUUCUGUAAUUAACAACAUGUAUGACCACAUCCACAGGCCUAGUUCUUAUUACAAUUUAUAUACUGUAUUCGUUGAGAAAUAAAUGUAUCCCCCUUGGGGUUUAGAGAGCACAGCCCCAUUCAAACAUUGUCCUGAGGCAGAGGGAGUUCUGAUUGCUCUAGGUCUAGCAUGAGGAAGUGCAGGUUGUACCUGGGGAGUGGAGAGAGGGAGAGUGACCAGCUGUGUGUGUCUCGAGCUCCAGCCUACAGGAAGCAGGCCCUCACAAAGGGAAGUAGCGGAGAACCAGCCUGAAGCCUGGGAGGUACAGAGCAGCCGACCAGCGAUGCCCCAGGACAGGAGGAGCACUGUGCCAGAGAGGAAUCACCAAGAAAGACAAACUGAAGCCAGACCCAAUAUCACUGUUGCCCAGAGCUGCAUGGAGCUGAGGAGGGGUGAGAACCCAGAGAGACAAAGGAUAACUGCCUUGGGCCAAAGCUAUAAAAGGGAGUGGAACAGAACAAAGGUGGCCAGUCAUGAGAAAUUCCCUAGUUACCACCUGAGCUGGAACAAGGAUUGUACCAGAGGAAAGGAUUGGGCCCAGACUAGGAAGGAGUCUUGACUGUGAAAGAAGCUUAUUAGAACAUCAGAGGGUGAGAUUUACCUGUAUUCAGUUUCUUAAAUGUAUUAGGCUUAGGCUUGUGUGUUUUGUUCUAUUUUGCUUGGUAAUUUACUUUGUUCUGUGUGUUAUUACUUGAAAUCACUUAAAUCCUACUUUUAGACUUAAUAAAAUCACUUUUGUUUAUUAAUUAA
This is a long non-coding RNA of Malaclemys terrapin pileata, 1089 nucleotides long. RefSeq lists it as uncharacterized. Lineage: Eukaryota; Metazoa; Chordata; Testudines; Emydidae. The transcript has 2 exons. The record is from RefSeq and is a predicted model, not a curated record.